UUCUAAGGGCGUUGAAGGUCGAUCGUGAGGACGGCUGGAGCGCUUAGAAGUGAGAAUGCCGGUAUGAGUAGCGAAAGACAGGUGAGAAUCCUGUCCACCGUAUGACUAAGGUUUCCUGGGGAAGGCUCGUCCGCCCAGGGUUAGUCGGGACCUAAGCCGAGGCCGAUAGGCGUAGGCGAUGGACAACAGGUUGAUAUUCCUGUACCAGUUGUUUUUGUUUGAGCAAUGGAGGGACGCAGUAGGCUAAGGAAUGCAUGCGAUUGGAAGUGCAUGUCCAAGCAAUGAGUCUUGAG
This 293-nucleotide ribosomal RNA is filed under the name Enterococcus faecalis. RNAcentral describes it as "partial 23S ribosomal RNA". It matches the Rfam family "Bacterial large subunit ribosomal RNA", at positions 1239 to 1530 of the family's 2925-position model. Lineage: Bacteria; Bacillati; Bacillota; Bacilli; Lactobacillales; Enterococcaceae. The record is from RNAcentral.